This 228-nucleotide ribosomal RNA is filed under the name uncultured bacterium. Its description in RNAcentral is "partial 16S ribosomal RNA". It matches the Rfam family "Bacterial small subunit ribosomal RNA", at positions 568 to 795 of the family's 1533-position model. The record is from RNAcentral.
UCCGUAGGCGGGAAUCUAAGUCAGUGGUGAAAUCUUACAGCUCAACUGUAAAAUUGCCAUUGAUACUGGAUUUCUUGAAUUAGUGUGAAGUGGUUAGAGUGUGUAGUGUAGCGGUGAAAUGCAUAGAUAUUACACAGAAUACCAAUUGCGAAGGCAGAUCACUAACACUAUAUUGACGCUGAGGGACGAAAGCGUGGGGAGCGAACAGGAUUAGAUACCCUGGUAGUC